This 779-nucleotide ribosomal RNA is filed under the name Halorubrum sp. Its description in RNAcentral is "bacterial SSU rRNA". It matches the Rfam family "Archaeal small subunit ribosomal RNA", at positions 81 to 859 of the family's 1478-position model. The record is from RNAcentral. Lineage: Archaea; Methanobacteriati; Methanobacteriota; Halobacteria; Halobacteriales; Haloferacaceae.
GCGAAUAGCUCAGUAACACGUGGCCAAACUACCCUUCGGAGCACAAUACCCUCGGGAAACUGAGGCUAAUAGUGCAUACCACAGUCCAGCUGGAAUGAGGACUGUGCCAAACGCUCCGGCGCCGAAGGAUGUGGCUGCGGCCGAUUAGGUAGACGGUGGGGUAACGGCCCACCGUGCCAAUAAUCGGUACGGGUCAUGAGAGUGAGAACCCGGAGACGGAAUCUGAGACAAGAUUCCGGGCCCUACGGGGCGCAGCAGGCGCGAAACCUUUACACUGCACGCCAGUGCGAUAAGGGAAUCCCAAGUGCGCAGGCAUAGAGCCUGCGCUUUUGUACACCGUAGGGAGGUGUACGAAUAAGGGCUGGGCAAGACCGGUGCCAGCCGCCGCGGUAAUACCGGCAGCCCGAGUGAUGGCCGAUCUUAUUGGGCCUAAAGCGUCCGUAGCUGGCCGCACAAGUCCAUCGGAAAAUCCACCCGCCCAACGGGUGGGCGUCCGGUGGAAACUGUGUGGCUUGGGACCGGAAGGCGCGACGGGUACGUCCGGGGUAGGAGUGAAAUCCCGUAAUCCUGGACGGACCGCCGAUGGCGAAAGCACGUCGCGAGGACGGAUCCGACAGUGAGGGACGAAAGCCAGGGUCUCGAACCGGAUUAGAUACCCGGGUAGUCCUGGCCGUAAACAAUGUCUGUUAGGUGUGGCUCCCACUACGAGUGGGUGCUGUGCCGUAGGGAAGCCGCUAAACAGACCGCCUGGGAAGUACGUCCGCAAGGAUGAAACUUAA